Molecule: long non-coding RNA, 10428 nt
Organism: Alexandromys fortis (reed vole)
Lineage: Eukaryota; Metazoa; Chordata; Mammalia; Rodentia; Cricetidae
Exons: 3
Source: RefSeq, a predicted model, not a curated record
UGAAUAUGUGUCGUGCGAGCCUGUGUUUCUGGAGGUCUGCGCAACUGUAUGCGAUGGGGGAGGGCGGGGCUGGGAUUCCAAGAGUUCUGUUCAAACCUAACUCUUAACCUCUAGGAUGGUUCUUCAGGCCAAGAGGCGCCGGUUUGGUGACUGAGCUCGGAGACAGUGGUCUCACCGCUUGGGCUCUGUUCAUUUAUCCCUCACCCACAAAAUGCUCCCAAAGAAGGUAAACAAGAAAGAGUCUGCCCAAAGGCUCUGAAUACCUUUCACUGGCCAGUCGUAUGGGAACCUGAGUACUGCGAGGCUCGGAGCAGAGACCAACACCGGUCGGUGCACCGAGUGGCUCUGAGCUACUGGGGAACGGGGCCCUGUUUUUGUCUGAACGUUUUGUAAGGAUUAAGCUGAUCCAAGCUUCUGAAGGCUGCGCUAAGGUUCAAACAGGCAUAAAGUGCGACCCCAAGUGGCCACGGUGCGCAAAGGCGCCCUGAACUGGUUGGUUCGGUGCCGGCAGGCUUGGACGGCGCUUCGGACCCAUACUGGUCUUACUAAUUCACCCGGCCAAGCCAGGUCUGAACACAGGCUGUGUGCACCCUGGGAUCCUGGACAGACUCCCCAGGAACUAUGCAUAGAUCGUGCGAUCCCAUCUUCGAACUCAACCACGAGUUCUUCCCGGUUGCUGUCUUUGAAAUGCCAUACCCAAGCCCUCGGGGUGUGCUUGUGGGCUACUCCCCUCUAGGGAAGGUCCCGAGCUGGAAAGAUCAGUGCCCUAAAAUGAAAACGCCAGGUGGAGAGGCUCCAGGGCUACCCGGUGAGAAACCUCUCUGGAGCGCAGACGGGGAGGUGGGAGGCGGGAACGCAGAACGCUAGACUCUCAGAAGGGGCUGUAGAGCGCCAACGGAGCCUCCUUACCCUGGGCCAGAAAGGCAGGAAAUAUGGGACUUUUCUGAGAUCCCCCUCCCCGACCCCGAUAUCAAAAGCGAAUAGAUGUCUUAUUCGCUGGAUCCGGAGACCGGACCCGCCUCCCGCGUCGCUUUCUGGCUUCCCAUCUCAAGACGCGGAAAGAAAAGCGGCCGAAAGCGUGCUAGGUGAGUGUGUCCUGGCUGCCGGGCUGCGCAGGACCGCCAGCCAACACUGCGCACGGGGGUCGGGUGGCCCGCGUCAAUGACAACCUGUAACAGAAAGAAAAAUAUGACUCCGAUAAAUAAGAAAAACCCUUUCUCUAUGGUCCUUAGGAAAGAUAGGGCAGACAGUGGUCUCAGGAGUCUGUUUUUAACAAAGUGAACGUAUUUGAACUAAAACUUGACCUAAAAUUUUUAGAUCACUGAAUGGCUGAGAAAAUCUCAAACCCUUGGAGAAGUGAACUCUUGGCAGAAAUGAUUCGGCCGCCUAGGCAGAGAGCCUGCCUGGGCCGUUCGCCCCAACCUCUGGCAGAUGAAGAUGGGCGCUAGGGACCCACUUGCCUUGUCCCAGCCGCGGUCGCAGGAGGAGAGCGAGGAGAGCGCACGCUCGAACCUCAGCUCGGCAAUGGGACGUUUUAAGGACAUUUCGGGUUUAGAGUUCCAGGUCUCUGCAAACAGCGGUUCCAGCCUCUACCACCACAGGCAGACUCUCUAAACACCCACCGGGCUCCAGCGUUAGCUCCCUCCCUUAGCCAUCUGAGACGCAGCAUUUCUCGAGUGCGUGCCUCACUGCACACCCUCCCCGGAGUACCGCGGAGUUCAGCAGAGCUGUGCUUGUUCCCCGAGAGUCUCCGUCACCACUGAGGACUGAAACCCACUUCUCAAGAACGUGGCCCUUGAAGAGGACUCUUGCAGCCACAGACCAGUAGUUGCAAAAUCCCAGUAGAUGCGCUGCCCUCUCUGGGUUUGGAUUACUCGGCCUUUGUCCUGGCAGUUUUGCCCCUCUUUGUCCCUGUGACUACCUCUCUGUUGGAGCCACUAUCUUCCUCUGGUCCUUAGCUGAGUUAUCUCGCGGCUUCUAUGCUCACCCCCCCCCAAAACCCGUUUCUUUGCUUCUACCCGAGAGAGAGAGAGAGAGAGAGAGAGAGAGAGAGAGAGAGAGAGAGAGAGAUCUCGUGGGUGGAAGGGUAGAAAGGUUGCCCCAAGUGAAGACCUUUGCUCACAGCCUAUUCUAUUUCAUGGUCCAGCCUCCCCCAUUCUAAUUCCUGAUGUGCUCUGCUGCAGGGUCUCGGAACUGGAACUCCUGGGCUAAUACGUUUAUCUCCCAACUGCCACCACGCUCUCGGUAUCCUUGUGCGGGAUUCUUCCCGGUCCUGGGUAUCACUGCAGGACGGGACAAACCCCAACCCUGAAAGACAGGAGAGAUGGAGAGGGUGCUGGUGCGCAUUUUGACUGGGAGCUUGAUUGGAAUGUUGGAAGCGGAGAGAGAAGCAAUGGGAAAGAGGCCGGAGACCCAAGCAACCUCCAGCGAGCCCAAGAAAAGCCGGGAUUGCCAGCGGCUAGAGCCCCUAUACGGAGCAGUUUUCUAUCUAGCGCUUCGAUUUAUCUUUGAGAUUGUUUUACUCCAAAGCGAACCCGGUUGCAUCGUCCUGGAAUUCCUUAACUUCACCGCAGUGAUACAGGGACGCUGAGGGGCCUUGGGGCACUUCUGUUCUAGGGGAAGAAAUUGCUCCCCAAGACGUUGAAGAGCACGAGGCAGAACGUGAGGUUAUCUCGGUGCUGCCCUCGUGGCAUCUCCGCCACGCCAUCGGGGUAACCUGAUAGAUACCCAGUGGCGCGCCUUCGUGCCUGCGCUUCCAGACUUGGGCGGCGCCCUGGCACUUGCGUUCAGCGCUGAGGUGCGCGGUUCACCCAGGUUUACCAGAGGGAGGACUGCAGGUGCUUAGUGAGCGAGUAGGCGGAACUGUGAGUGUAGGAGUAGGGUUUAUGGCACGCGGGAGGAGUGUGCCCGUGUGCAGUGUGAGUACUGGGUAGGGAACCGCAGCUGUCUACGUGUAGGGGUUGGAGACUCGCAACCCUCGCAGCCCCCCUAGAGAGCAGGAUCCUACUAUCCGAGAUUGCCGAGCAGAAGCCCUUAAAUUCAAGGGUCACAGGGCUUGAGUUCUACAGGGAAGAGACUAGCGUUUGGAAAGAAAGCCUACAGAAGCCUGCCUUCGGACGCUUUGUCACCCACACUUCUCUUGCAAGAAGCCUGGAGUUCUGCGCUGCCUUCACGGGACCCUAAAGGAAGAAGAUGCCCUGUUGCCAACACUCCCUGAAAACCUCCGGAAGUCUAUGGCUUCCAAGAGGCGAGUGGGGGGAGGGGGCGAGGGCCUCGAGGUCGUUCCACCCUACCUCUUCCUCCGACAGCAGCUACUACUUCCACUUAGUCUGGUUGGCCACAUACAACCGCCGUCAGAAUCCAAACCAGCGCUUUCAAGGUUUUGUACUAUGAUAGGUCCUGGUACUCCUGUAGCAACCAUAGUUAUAUCAUCUGCCAGUCGAAGAUGGAGAACCCCUCCCGCGCUAAGCAGAGCAGGGAUCUGUACUACAAAAGAAAUGUCCAUUUUCCUUCGCUUUAGUUUAGUGUGUCUGAGAGAAAAUUGUAGAAUACACACCAGGCUCACAUUCCAUAACCCACUGGGUAGUAUGGCCUCAAAGAGAUGUUUCUCGAAAACAUUCACCUCCACCCACUCAGGAAUUUGAAAUAACUUUUGCUGGAUUCUGAUUCUCACAUUUCUCACGGAGCAGCAGCUCUUGUUAUUCCUACUUUGCACAGAUUGGCAGGCAGGUAGCUGGGGAUACACAUCAGAGUCCUAAGAGCUUCUUGUUCCUCCAUCAGCCCACCUAUAGAGGUCUCUGUAGUGGGCAAGGUCAUCACUAGCUCACCCAAAGACAGAGGGAGAGACUCUCAGAGGUUACGUGAUUCAUUUCAAUUUACACAGAAGUGAUAAACCAGAACCUCUGACUUUCAGAAUCCUGUGCAGUGGGGGAAGGGUUCCUCUACCAUGAGUAGACAGCACCCCCCACCCCCCAGGGAUGCAGGUGCCUGUAUGGGUCUUCUCCGGCUGUUGUCUCUUUGGGGAUUUCCAACUCUCUGAGAGACCAGUGGCUAUUCUGGUCACUGCUGAGCCUCUUCCCAAUUCUAAGGGAAGUGUCUGACUGCUUUUUUGUGGAUGCCACAUGAACCCCUUGGUUCCCCCUCUUCCCUGAUUGUGUGGGGACAGCAAAAAACCACCGUGAACUGCCAGCCAAAGGAAAGGUUUACCGUCUUGCCAUCCUGUCCCUCACCCUUGGCCUGCUGACCACGGAGGUUGGCUCUGAGUCUCAGUCCUGACUUUGGUGGCCCUGCCUGUGUCCUGAGUUUGACCUUAAGUACCAGUCAAAUCUCUCUUAAACAGCUGAGAAAGAAGGAGACAGAGAAUAAAGAGGGAGAGGCUUGGGAGAUAGAAGGAAAGGGAGAAGGAGAAGAGGAAGAGAAGGGUCAGAGAAAGACGAGGGGAGGGAGAAAGAAGAAAGAAGGGAAAAGAAGGGGGAUGUGGCUUGUGGUCACAUAGAUGGAGCUGACACUGCUAACGGCCACAGCUGGGCGAAGGCUCGCCAGUGCCAGCCAGUGCCACUCCCUGUUCACCACACCUGAGGGCCACCCAAGGUCAUCAUUACAGACACUGAAACCACAUCCUGGCUUUCACCUCUCACGGCCUGACCAAAACUGCGGUCUCCCUCCACCUCCGGCCUCCAGUUCCCCACCUGGCACCCACCCCCCUCAUCCAAGCUAUCCUCAUCCACGGCUUAAAAGACAGCAGAGGCUUUGGCUAUGGACUGAUUGACUUUUGCUAUUUCACGGAGUUAGUCAGUCUUGCUCUAAGAGACCGGUCAUUCUAGCUCCGGAGCUCUACUCCCUUACAGGACUGCAUGUGAUGUCUCCCACCAGACCCUAAUUGUCCUUUACGCCCCCAUUAAUGGUCCAGGCAUACCCAUUCUUUUAAGUUUCUCCGCCUACUAAGCUGCUUUCAGCCAUGGGUCUCUGCACAUGAUACCACCCUCUACCCAGAAUGACUUGGCUGCUUGCCUCCGAAGGACUUAGAAAAGGUAGGAUGGGGGAUCUUCCCAGGCUUCAGGAGGACUUCGGUUGUAGCUGGGUUUGGGGGUCAGAAGACAUCCACAGCAUUCUAGGAAAACUCCAUUCCAUGUUGUCAGACAACAGGGCUCAGGCCUCUCUGCCCCUCCUUUCUGCCAGGUGGAUCAGGGAGACCUCAGGUUUGAGAAAAGCCUUAGGAAACAAUACUGGGGAGGCCAAAUGCGGUUUGAUCAGUCAGUCCAAAUUAUUUUCACUUGAGAAAAUGCAUUGAAAACACAGAGUAUUCAACCACACAGGUUAUGGAAACACAUUUGGAGAAACUACACGAGAUGACCUUGAGCUCCUGGGGGCUGUUUCUGGGUUCCCAGUAGCCAGCAUAAUACCCACAGCAGGAGGUAUCCAAUUAUAGUUAUGCAAUAAAUGAAUGAGUGAGUGGAUGAAGGAAUUGGUAAACUCGGAGACUUGCUUACUGUUCAGUAUCUCUGAACCCUCAGACCUCUCCUGCAUGCCCCAGUACCUUCCUCCCCCUUGUUAUCAUUCAUCCCUAAUCAAAGCCUCAUUCCUUCCUCCCAACAUUCACAGACUAACCCAAGGAAUGGGGUGAUUUGGUACCCCAAGCCCACUUGCCUGGAUGCUCCUCCAGCUGGGGAGCCGAUUUCUAGCUACUGAGGAAGUGAAUAGCACCUUCCAUCGCAGAAGGCUGAUAAAAAUGGUGCUGAUGCUGGACUGUGAUGAAGCCCAGGCUGCGGUCAGGCAGGCACUGCAAUGACCACUCUGGUUCUUUUUCCCUUUAUAGAUGCACAAGACCAGGUUCUUGGAGUAAAAUAUGCAACAAUGUUUCUUGUAGCAUCUCUGUCUCCAGCCUCAGCUAGCUUGUUUUAUUUAGUGACCUCCAUGUCAUAUACCUACAUCUGCUUCUUUCUUUUUAAUGUAUGUGCAGAAUUCUGCCCAAUGGAUGCCCUGUCAUUUUUCUUUUUAUUCUUCUUUUUUAAAAGAGCAAGUCCCAUAUUGAUGGGCAUUUAAGCUGUUUCUGAGCUUCUCUGUUGCAAACGACGCUGCCACCAACAGCUUUUAUGCAUGUGUCUUUUAACACAUGUGCAAGCAUUUCUCUUCAAAGCAAGGAGAGGGAUUGCUAGAUUGAAAGAUAGGUGUAUUAUCAAUGUUAAUAUUGUCAAAUUAGCCUCCAACAAGAUUGUACCUAUUUAAUUUCCCAUCUAGAAGCUAGGAUGGAAAUCCAUCAACAAUGGAUUUUUAUCAAGGUUUUUCAUUUUUAUGUCAAUUCUGCAAGCAUUGCUGGGAAGCGAGGGCUCCUCCAUCCAGGAAAUUGCAGGCCUUGCAUUGCAGCUGGGAAGGUGCUGUGGAGACCUGGUCACAGUACAUUCAUAGUGCCAUCAGGGCUCAAGAAAAUGACUGCUAGAAGGGGCCGAGAAGGCUGAAGAGAGGAGGUGAGACUUGCCUGGGGCUUUGGAGGUGCAGAAAUUUAUCAAACACAGAAGCAAGAAGACUUGACAGAGUCAUCCAAGCAAGGGCCCUGUCUCCUGGGCCCCUGGGUGCAGCUGUUCAGGAGACAGAGCCACAAAGCUCUGUAAGAGCAAGCACUCCAGUGGCCAAGGAACUGGAGCUCUAUCCCACUCUAUCCCAGGAGCCAACAAACCAUCUCCACAGGCGCAGGCAUCCUUUUCAUUCACUGUGGGGGCACACAGUAGGUGCUUAACAGACAUUUAUGGAAAGACAAACGGUAUUUAAACAGUAUGCUUCCUUCUCUUCCAUCUCUUCCAUCUUUCAGGGACAGAACUGGGAAGCUGCUUGCUUUCUAAACACUGGAGAGACAGUAGAGACAAUCCAGCCUGGGAACCCCCUCCUGGGUCUCAGCCCCCAUCCCGGCCUUGUGCCAGAUCCUUUCACCUCUGCCUGUUAGAGAUUGCUUUUGGUUUCUGUGUUGACAACCCUUGUUUCUGUGUUUAGAGCGGCUGUUCAGUGCCAUUUCCUGAUUUAAUAUCGGUCCCGGCACAGAGCGAGGAUGCACAGUUAGCAGAUUUUGCUCCAAGUAUUUUUCAAGCUCCCUUUUGAUGUAAGGGUUGGGUUUUCAGCUUCCCUGAUCUCGACAGGCAUGCAGGGGGGAGGGGCUGAGGGAAGAAGGAGUUGAGAACAGGAGAUGGAGGGGAGGGAACCAGGACCCUGAGGACCCCUGGCAGAGCCAUCCACACAGAGAGCUUAGCCAACACAAGGAGCAAGCAGAAGAGUCUGAAGCAAGACUGCCACUACCCACUGUGUGACCAGGAAGGGGGACAUAGCUGUCUCUGAAAUAAACAAAAGGCUCAAAUAAAGUAGCACGGCGCAACUCAAAACACCAGGAGGCAAAACCAAAUUAACCUAGGUCCCAACAGCACUGGGUUUUGUGUGAUUUUGUUGGAAUGUCUACUGGACCCAAAGACUUCUGUGAGAUUAGAAGAAAGAAUAGACUAAACACUUCUCGCUCUUCUAUUAGGAACUAGUGUUCUGUUAGUGCAAAAAAAAAAAAAAUAGAAAACUUAAAAAGUGGCAACUGAUACAUGUACAGUGGAGGCAGGGGGCUCACAGACCCACAAUUGAGGACAGAACUCAAGAAGAGACCAACAUUUCCUGACACUGACACCCCAUCAGUAUUUCCUGAUGCCUCCUACAGUAUCCCUAACAGCAUCCCCAUCAGCAUCCCCAUCAACAUCCCCAUCAGCAUCCCUAGCAGCAUCCCCAUCAGCACCCAUAAAGCUACUAGGUUUCAUUUCUCCCUCUUCAAACACUCAUUUGCAGGAUUCUCCCUCUGAGACCUUCUGUGUCGAUUUAGGUCUUCUAAGAAGCAAACAGAAGAUUUAUUAGAGUAUCACUGGGAAGGAGGAAGGAAGGGGGAGCAGGAUGUGCCGGGAGGUCACAGACACCUGUGAAAAGAACAAGAAGGAAGGAGCUGAAGUUUUAGCCUGAGCUGGAGAAGUUACAAGCUCCUGGGGAUAUGGAGGCUCCCUAUCUCAUGGGAGUGAACCAGCUCCCACAUCAGUGCUGGAUUAGGGGCUGGAAGCAGCCAGAAGUACAGCCAAGGGUCAGACACAAGCAUGGGAAUGCCAGGGCAGGGAUUAUCCAUCCACAGUGCUUCUACAAUAAUUGCUGUGAAGGAGACCUCAGCCAGGCCCUUCCUGGCUAUCCCAUCCCCUGUCUUCCACUGGUUCAAGGCAGAUUUUUCCAAGUACUUACUCAUAGCAAGCAUGCAAGGGAUGACAUACAUUUAGUAUUUCUUAUCUCAUUCAAUCUUCCCCAGUAACCUUGUAGAGAGGCGUUGUGAUCAUGGUUACCUCCAUGUCAUAAACAAGGAGCUAAAGUUCACAUCGACCGAAUCACUUGCCAGAGGCCACAGCUACCAAGCGGUUCAGCUUGGACCCAAAGUCCCUUUGACUCUAGCCAUUGCUCUAAAUAGCUUUUACCGGGAAUAAGUCCAUAAAGGGAAUAUGAGAAGCUCCUUCCCCUCUGUGCACCCACCUCUCCUGUUACUUAAUCGCCUUCUGAUCCCCUUAGGGUCCAUACCCUCCUAUUUCCAGGUUCGUCCGCUAGUCCAUUCCAAGCAGGAGACACAGAAUGUUCGCCAGAAGUAAGCACUGUCCAGCAUCCACGUAUCUGUGUUUUUCCUAAGCACCCUUUCCUCCAGGAAGCCCUCCCUGACUCGCCUAUGUUUCCAUAACCCCUUAUACACAGAGAGCACCAAACUCCGGUUACAUCUGUGUCCAAUGCCGAGCCUAGCUUUUCUAAAACCAAAACUAACUCUAGAUCGAAUGUGGGUGUUCAUAGAGGAAGAUUGGUCCAGGACAACAAAAGGACACCUUCGGAAGUAAACGAGCAAAAUUUGGGCACUGCGCAAGGAACAUUUGGGCGCUGCACAAAGGAGCUGCCUACUGACUGUCCUAGACCAAGGUCAACCACAUCGCUUUUCUUUCACCUUGCCUAGUGUGCUUAAGAGUCUGUCAUGACUCUGGGCAGACCCCAAAUACCCCAGGCCCUGAAUAUCUUCCUCAGAUAUAUGGAAGCCCUCACUUGUUGGAGCCUUCCAGACGAGUUCAUUCUUCCCUUCUGUACUGAAGAAGGGGGUUCUAGCUUCUCUUGGGGGUCACCAUAUCCCAAGGGGUUAUCUAAAAAUACAUCUGAGCACUGAUACUGGCUCCAUUAUACCCUGGCAUGGAAGUGGGUGUUGUCAACGCAGGGGAGCGGGGCAGGGGAGCGGGGCAGGGAGGCGGUAGGAAGAGAAGACUUAAGAGCUCCUGUCUUGACAGCUUUGUUGUAUUUCUCUGUCUAGAAGUUCGGCUUGCAUUCCAUCCAGGCAGUCAGUGGGUGGGGGUGGGGGGGAAAGGAAAUUCACUUCAUGUUUCUCCUGUCUCACCCAGGGGCUCAGAAACACUCCUUUCUCAGACCAAAUUGAGUACCCCACCCCAUCCCCCACAGGGGCCUCCCAGAAGGGACAGUGUCUCCAGAUUGGAGACCACAGUUUCCAGGAUCUCCCCGAGGACCUCGGGGCUGGCUGCCAAUCAGACCUGGAAUCAGCCAUAGUCCAUUAGUGAAUGCCCCGGGUGCAAGGCGCCAACACAGCCCCCCCAGGCAUUGGCGCCAGAGGCUGCCCAGGGAACCCAAAGCCACCUUCAAUCAUUAUCUUGGCUUUUGUCAUUAGACAAACUGGACCAUGGACUAUAGGCUGUUUCCUAGGUGAGCAUCCUUUCCAGCUCCACCCCCCACCCCCCUCCACACACACACAGCUACUCUGAGCUCACAAAAUAACCACCAGCGUUAGGUGUGGGUACAGCCCCCACAGGAGGCCUGGCCUUUUACCGCAUCCCACCCUGCCACUGAGGCAGUGUGGGCUUCUAAGUUGCUAUCCUUCUCGGAGACACUCUUAUCUCCCCUGGAAGAUGGGGCAAUAGCAAGAGGACACACUCAGGCUUGGAUAACCAGGGCUACACGUUAGAGCCUGAAGAACUUGGCUCCCAGAGAGGCUCUGCACCUUUUCUGUGAUUUUUGCUUCAAGUUUGAGGCCCUGGGAGGUGAGGUUAUCAGGCUGAGACACCUAUAGGGGUGGCAAGAGAGGAACUACCUAGAAGACAGGCCAGACAGACCCUGAUGGCUGAAGCCACUCUGGCAGGCUUGAUUGUCCAACCUACUCCACUCCCCCACACCACCCUUUCAACUUGUAAAGAAUCCUGGCUAGAGCAGAUCCAGCAGUGAUGGGAGCAUAGAAGUACAGAAUGUCCAGGCUCAAGUGCCCAAAGCUAGGGACAAUCUGGGGUUCUAAUCCUAACUUAGUGGGACAUUUACUAUGCGAUCUUCAGCGAGUCACUUAACCUCUCUGGGAUUUUGUUCCUUUUUCUGGGUAGGUAAAACCCCACUUAAAUAAAGAUU